AAAAAACAAAAAACGAAAAUCGAAAAUAAGUAAAUAAAUAAAUAAAUAAAUAAAAUAAAACAGAAAUUUUUUGGACUUGGGCCUCUCUCAUUUGAGCCCACAGGUCCACAAAAAUCAGGUUAUAAAUUCAGAGUUUCAGUGAAACAAAAUUCCAUUCUAUUCCUAUUACCCUGGCAGGAAAAAAGAUAGUGAGAGAAGAGCUAACAGAGUUUAGAGCAAACUCCAGAGACUGAGGGAACUCAUUGGAAAAUAACCAAUUCCCUCUCAUAUAAACCCUC
This 278-nucleotide long non-coding RNA is filed under the name Lathyrus oleraceus (garden pea). RNAcentral describes it as "Pisum sativum (pea) long non-coding RNA (PSAT_LNC005481)". The record is from RNAcentral. Lineage: Eukaryota; Viridiplantae; Streptophyta; Magnoliopsida; Fabales; Fabaceae.